GGGGAAUCUUGCGCAAUGGGCGAAAGCCUGACGCAGCAACGCCGCGUGGGGGAUGAAGGCCCUCGGGUUGUAAACCCCUUUCAGCAGGGACGAAACUGACGGUACCUGCAGAAGAAGCCCCGGCCAACUACGUGCCAGCAGCCGCGGUAAUACGUAGGGGGCGAGCGUUGUCCGGAUUUAUUGGGCGUAAAGAGCUCGUAGGCGGUUCGGUAAGUCGGGUGUGAAAACUCUGGGCUCAACCCAGAGACGCCACCCGAUACUGCUGUGACUAGAGUGCGGUAGGGGAGCGGGGAAUUCCUGGUGUAGCGGUGAAAUGCGCAGAUAUCAGGAGGAACACCAGUGGCGAAGGCGCCGCUCUGGGCCGUGACUGACGCUGAGGAGCGAAAGCGUGGGUAGCAAA
Molecule: ribosomal RNA, 400 nt
Filed under: uncultured bacterium
Lineage: Bacteria
Description: bacterial SSU rRNA
Rfam family: Bacterial small subunit ribosomal RNA
Source: RNAcentral